RNAcentral lists this ribosomal RNA (558 nucleotides) under Cronobacter sp. DGH1. Its description in RNAcentral is "bacterial SSU rRNA". It matches the Rfam family "Bacterial small subunit ribosomal RNA", at positions 82 to 636 of the family's 1533-position model. Lineage: Bacteria; Pseudomonadati; Pseudomonadota; Gammaproteobacteria; Enterobacterales; Enterobacteriaceae. The record is from RNAcentral.
GAGUAAUGUCUGGGAAACUGCCCUCUGAGUAAUUGUUGGGAAACUGCCUGAUGGAGGGGGAUAACUACUGGAAACGGUAGCUAAUACCGCAUAACGUCUUCGGACCAAAGUGGGGGACCUUCGGGCCUCAUGCCAUCAGAUGUGCCCAGAUGGGAUUAGCUAGUAGGUGGGGUAAAGGCUCACCUAGGCGACGAUCCCUAGCUGGUCUGAGAGGAUGACCAGCCACACUGGAACUGAGACACGGUCCAGACUCCUACGGGAGGCAGCAGUGGGGAAUAUUGCACAAUGGGCGCAAGCCUGAUGCAGCCAUGCCGCGUGUAUGAAGAAGGCCUUCGGGUUGUAAAGUACUUUCAGCGAGGAGGAAGGGGUUAAGGUUAAUAACCUCAGCCAUUGACGUUACUCGCAGAAGAAGCACCGGCUAACUCCGUGCCAGCAGCCGCGGUAAUACGGAGGGUGCAAGCGUUAAUCGGAAUUACUGGGCGUAAAGCGCACGCAGGCGGUUUGUUAAAUCAUAUGUGAAAUCCCCGGGCUCAACCUGGGAACUGCAUUCGAAACUGG